This is a long non-coding RNA of Rhododendron vialii, 1070 nucleotides long. RefSeq lists it as uncharacterized. The transcript is spliced from 4 exons. The record is from RefSeq and is a predicted model, not a curated record. NCBI's taxonomy places the organism in Eukaryota, Viridiplantae, Streptophyta, Magnoliopsida, Ericales, Ericaceae.
CGCCACCGGCGGCGAGGCCGGCGCUGCGAGUUUGCUCGCCUCCAAGAUCGCCAGAAAAUUGGAGAAGACAUCGCCCGAAAAUAGGAGGCGACAUUGCCACGGCCAAGGACUGGAAGGGUUAGGCAUAGCUGUUUAGAUAGAAAUCUUGAAGGAAUCUGGAUGGGGAGGAAAAGAGGGAGAGAGAGAAGGAGAAGAAGACGGUGACGACGCAGCAAAUAUUUUUAGGAUCGAUUCUGACUUUGCACUCUAUGUCGCCGAAUCCGUGCGUUUCUAUAUAUUUCCUCCUCUCCGUUAAAACACAGCGGGUUCGCGCCUCUCUCUAUCAUGAAAGCUCUAUUGUUAUUUGUUGUUGUUUUUUCUUUGUUUGAUCACGAUGGGUAGGACUUAGGAUCACGAUGGGGUAGGAGAUCACGAAGCAGUGCCUAGGAGAUUACGAUGAGCUGUUGCAGUGUCUAGAUCUAAGGAGCCAUCCAAUUUCACAGUCAAGACAACUCGGUGAGGUUGUUGAUUUGAGAGUAGAAUCAACUUACCAAAAUGUGCUAUCGGUAUCGAGUAUCCUACGUAUCCCUCUCUUUCUCUCUUCUUUCUUUCUUUUUCCUUUUUUGGUAAAGGUUUUACAAAAAAAAUCUAAUAUGAUCAGUCAUGUAGCAGCAAUCCAUAUGUUGGUUUGUGUUUUUUUAUGAGUUUGGCAAACAUCAAGCUUUAAAUUGACGCAUCAUUCAUGCAAUGGAUGUAAUUGGUUUCGUCAAGGCAUCAAGCCUAACAUUUAAAUUGAUGCAUUAAUCAUGGUUUGCACUAACUAGGCUAUUAGCAGAAUGAGUUUUAUUUCUGUUUUUUUUUUUUUUUAGAUGCAAAAGUGCAUCUUGGGUUAGUUACUUUGUUUUGUCAUCAACAUAAGCUAAGGAGGCGUAGUUCCUUGUUAGAGUUAUCUUCUUAAUAGCUUUAUCAGUUUGUGCUAGAAUUUGGGUACCAAUUGACUUGUCAAUAAAGAAACCAUGCUUAGGGUGAUUAUCGGAACGACAUUUUUUGUAAAGACUUCUCCUAAUAUUGGUGGCAUAGGCAAUCUCUUU